GCUGGGCAUGGUGGUGCAUGCCUGUAAUCCCAGCAGCUCGGGAGGCUAAGACAGGAAGACUGUGAGUUCAAGGCCAGCCUCAGCAAUUUAGUGAAGCCCUAAGCAACUCAGUGAGUCCCCGUCUCUA
RNAcentral lists this small RNA (127 nucleotides) under Marmota monax (woodchuck). Lineage: Eukaryota; Metazoa; Chordata; Mammalia; Rodentia; Sciuridae. The record is from RNAcentral.